GAUUGUAUAAGUAAGAUAACUGGCAUAAUGUUAAUUAAUUAUCUAACCUAAUAAAUAAUCUUAUGAGAUUCGAAGUCAACAAAUGAAAAUAUUAAAAAUUAAAUUAUUUUAUCAAUCCCUUAAUAACUAAUAGUAUAACCAAAGCUGGGCAUUAACAAGUUAAAAAGUUACUUUUAACUAAGUUACUUAACGAGUUACUUUUUUUUAAAGAAGUAACUUCUAUCAUAACGAAUUCCUUUUUUUUUAGAAACUUCUAACUCUUAAAGCGUUUAUUUAUUUUAUAGGCACGUUAAGUUAUUUUUUUUCUUUGUACGAACCUCAAAAAUGUAUUAUUGCAUUUUGUAUAAUAAAAAUAAUAAUAAUAAUAAUAACAAUAAUUAUUAUAUUAAAUAUAAAUUAUUCUGUUAUAUAUUAUUAUAUAGGUAUCGAGUAUUCUAAAUAUUAUAGACUGUCGAAGUAUUCUACAAUACCUAUGUCUGGAUUUUAAAAUAACAUGUUUAAAUACAAGUAUAAGGACCUAUUAUAUUGAUUAAAUAAACUAUAAUAUUAUAGUUACUGUAUAUUUAAACAAUACUAAUAGUUAAUGGAUCUUACAAAAUGUCAAAAUAUACCAAACGACUUAUAAGAAAUAAAGAAUAAUAUUUUAUAUAAUUUCUUUUUCAUAGAAUAUAGUAUAUCUAAAUAUUAAACAAUAGUGCAAUGCGUGUAAUUAUUAUUUGGAAAAAAAAACAUAUAUUUAAUAUUAUCAAUACCCAAUAUCCCAUAUAGGUACGUUAGUAAACUCAGUUUUUCAAAUUUCAAAAUUUAUGGUUUGUUAUAUUUAAAUUCAUUCAUGGAAAUGAUAAGAAUAAUUUUACUCGGAGUGAGGGAGUGACCAAUUAUAUUUACUAUUUACUAAUUUAAUUAUUUUAUUAGAUUUCAUAAUUAAUAAGUACCUACAGCAAAAUACAUUUUUUAGGAUAUAAAGACCUGCAAUCUACAUUAUAAUAUUAUCACAACAAAAACCUUUCGUAAACUUCAUGUAAAAAUGGCUAAGUAAAAAAAAAUAUUAGAUCUUUAAGCACUAUAAAGAUGUGAUAUCAUGAAUUAAUGCUAAGUAUAUUGUAUUUAAGUAAACGUAUUUUGUUUCAAUAAUUUAUUUACUUGGCGAGGAAUUAUUUCUUAAAAGAAACAAAGUGUGAUGAAUAAUAUAAUAAAAUGGCGAAGAACUAUUACAAUAUAACUUAUUAUUAUUUAAAACAUAUUAUUAUUAAUAUUUAUACACUAUUCUGUGGCGCUGGAUGUUAUUUGUAAAUCUUUAACAUGAAGUGUAAAUGGUAUAAUUAUAAGUUUUAUAUGAAAAAAAAAGUAACUUAUUUUUAACUAAGUUAAGUUACUUAUUUUUUCCAAUUAACUUGUAACUUUAACAAGUUAAAUAAAAAAUAAAAGUAACUUCUAACUUAAAAUUUAACUAAGAUUUUUUCAAAUUAACUUAACGAGUUAAAUAAAAGAGUUAACUUGCCCAGCCUUGAGUAUAACAAAACGGUCCUAUAAAAUCACAUAAUGUCUUUUCGAUCAAUUAAUCAUAAAUAUAAUAGUUAAUUAUUUCCCAUCUUUCUAUGAUUGACAGUUUAUAAUUACAGCACAACUUUAUGAACUGCCAUAAAAGGCUCUCUUUAAAUGUUAUCAUUUAUUUAUUCUUAUGACACCAUGGUAAUAUUAUAUUAAUAACUAAUAACAAUUUUAAGGAGAGCUUAUUUAAAUUGUGUACAGUAUUAAGUUUCCAACAUAAUAUAUUAGUUCAUUAUUAUAUUAUAUUGAAUUUUAGUGAGAUAUUAUUAUUUUACCCAGACUUAAUAUAAUAUAAAAACUAACAAUACAUGUUGAUGUUUAAUGAUUAUUGUUGAAGGUAUCAUUUAAAAAAUGAAUUCAAAAUUGUGUUUGUAUCAACUAUAUUAACAAUAAAUUUGUCUGAUUAUAUUUUUUUAAACAGAUAAUAUUGUUGCAACAGGUGUAUAUACCGAGUAUAAUCAAUUCAAAAAUGCGAUUGAGUCAUAUGACUUAAGCUUUGACAAUAAAAUAGCUGAAAUCAGUAGAAAAUGGACAGAGGAAGCAAAAGCUUACUACAGGUUUCAUAUAUACCAGUCUGAAACACCAACCGCCCAUCCACUAUUUAAUUAUAAAAAAUGGUGCGCUGCUUAUGUCGGCUCAUACUUUGGACUUAGAAUUCACGGUUUUAUCAGUGAUUGAGGAUUUAUCACUGGAAUUAAUAUAUCUAGCCUACCAAUGAAGACAUCAAUAUUAUUGAGGGUAGACCAAAAGUCAAUAAAAAGUAUAUUAAAUUUGUAUAAUGAACCUAAAAAUUUAACUUAGGUAAUUAUCUUGUAUGUUAAAAUUUUUUAUUUAAAAAUAAAUAAUAUUAAAAUACCUA
This is a long non-coding RNA of Aphis gossypii (cotton aphid), 2410 nucleotides long. RefSeq lists it as uncharacterized. The transcript is spliced from 6 exons. NCBI's taxonomy places the organism in Eukaryota, Metazoa, Arthropoda, Insecta, Hemiptera, Aphididae. The record is from RefSeq and is a predicted model, not a curated record.